Molecule: non-coding RNA, 178 nt
Filed under: Clostridium carboxidivorans
Lineage: Bacteria; Bacillati; Bacillota; Clostridia; Eubacteriales; Clostridiaceae
Also listed under: 1 other name
Description: Lysine sequence
Rfam family: Lysine riboswitch aptamer
About the family: Riboswitches are metabolite binding domains within certain messenger RNAs that serve as precision sensors for their corresponding targets. Allosteric rearrangement of mRNA structure is mediated by ligand binding, and this results in modulation of gene expression.
Source: RNAcentral
AACUGAGAUAGAGGCGCAAAAUUUAAGAGUAGCACUGCAGAGGUAAGUACUAUGAAGCAGUUUGAAAGGAAAUUUUGCCGAAACUUAUAGCAGAUGCUUUAAUGCUAUAUAGUUGGGCUUUGUAUAGAAUAUGUACAGGACUGUCACAAAGUUUAUUUUGUGGAGAGCUAUCAUUCAU